CGCGUAGGCGGUUAUAUAAGUCGGGUGUGAAAGCCCCGGGCUCAACCUGGGAACUGCAUUCGAUACUGUAUAGCUUGAGUUUGGUAGAGGGGAGUGGAAUUCCACAUGUAGCGGUGAAAUGCGUAGAUAUGUGGAGGAACACCAGUGGCGAAGGCGACUCCCUGGCCCAAAACUGACGCUGAGGUGCGAAAGCGUGGGUAGCAAACA
RNAcentral lists this ribosomal RNA (207 nucleotides) under uncultured bacterium. Its description in RNAcentral is "partial 16S ribosomal RNA". It matches the Rfam family "Bacterial small subunit ribosomal RNA", at positions 568 to 774 of the family's 1533-position model. The record is from RNAcentral.